Myotis davidii is the source of this 76-nucleotide non-coding RNA. NCBI's taxonomy places the organism in Eukaryota, Metazoa, Chordata, Mammalia, Chiroptera, Vespertilionidae. The record is from Rfam.
GGCGGUUCUCGGGUGACUCACCCUGGAAUUGGGCUCCCUUCUCUCUGGUUCCAGGGUGCAUCACUUGAGAACUGCU